This 73-nucleotide transfer RNA is filed under the name Camelus bactrianus (Bactrian camel). It matches the Rfam family "tRNA". Rfam says of the family: Transfer RNA (tRNA) molecules are approximately 80 nucleotides in length. Lineage: Eukaryota; Metazoa; Chordata; Mammalia; Artiodactyla; Camelidae. The record is from Rfam by way of RNAcentral. RNAcentral also lists the same sequence under 1 other name.
GGGGGUAUAGCUCAAGUGGUAGAGUGAGUGCCUAGCAUACAUGAGGUCUUGGGUUCAAUCCCCAGUACUUCCA